Molecule: ribosomal RNA, 1104 nt
Filed under: Lactiplantibacillus plantarum
Lineage: Bacteria; Bacillati; Bacillota; Bacilli; Lactobacillales; Lactobacillaceae
Description: bacterial SSU rRNA
Rfam family: Bacterial small subunit ribosomal RNA
Source: RNAcentral
UGGCGCCAGACUACUACAUGCAGUCGAACGAACUCUGGUAUUGAUUGGUGCUUGCAUCAUGAUUUACAUUUGAGUGAGUGGCGAACUGGUGAGUAACACGUGGGAAACCUGCCCAGAAGCGGGGGAUAACACCUGGAAACAGAUGCUAAUACCGCAUAACAACUUGGACCGCAUGGUCCGAGUUUGAAAGAUGGCUUCGGCUAUCACUUUUGGAUGGUCCCGCGGCGUAUUAGCUAGAUGGUGGGGUAACGGCUCACCAUGGCAAUGAUACGUAGCCGACCUGAGAGGGUAAUCGGCCACAUUGGGACUGAGACACGGCCCAAACUCCUACGGGAGGCAGCAGUAGGGAAUCUUCCACAAUGGACGAAAGUCUGAUGGAGCAACGCCGCGUGAGUGAAGAAGGGUUUCGGCUCGUAAAACUCUGUUGUUAAAGAAGAACAUAUCUGAGAGUAACUGUUCAGGUAUUGACGGUAUUUAACCAGAAAGCCACGGCUAACUACGUGCCAGCAGCCGCGGUAAUACGUAGGUGGCAAGCGUUGUCCGGAUUUAUUGGGCGUAAAGCGAGCGCAGGCGGUUUUUUAAGUCUGAUGUGAAAGCCUUCGGCUCAACCGAAGAAGUGCAUCGGAAACUGGGAGACUUGAGUGCAGAAGAGGACAGUGGAACUCCAUGUGUAGCGGUGAAAUGCGUAGAUAUAUGGAAGAACACCAGUGGCGAAGGCGGCUGUCUGGUCUGUAACUGACGCUGAGGCUCGAAAGUAUGGGUAGCAAACAGGAUUAGAUACCCUGGUAGUCCAUACCGUAAACGAUGAAUGCUAAGUGUUGGAGGGUUUCCGCCCUUCAGUGCUGCAGCUAACGCAUUAAGCAUUCCGCCUGGGGAGUACGGCCGCAAGGCUGAAACUCAAAGGAAUUGACGGGGGCCCGCACAAGCGGUGGAGCAUGUGGUUUAAUUCGAAGCUACGCGAAGAACCUUACCAGGUCUUGACAUACUAUGCAAAUCUAAGAGAUUAGACGUUCCCUUCGGGGACAUGGAUACAGGUGGUGCAUGAUUGUCGUCAGCUCGUGUCGUGAGAUGUGGGUUUAAGUCCCGCAACGAGCGCCACCCUUA